Molecule: microRNA precursor, 156 nt
Filed under: Vigna angularis (adzuki bean)
Lineage: Eukaryota; Viridiplantae; Streptophyta; Magnoliopsida; Fabales; Fabaceae
Description: pre miRNA mir-166
Source: RNAcentral
UUUGAUGCGGUUGAAGAGGUACAAGAUUAUAAUAUCGUCACUCUUGCAAAAUUUGUCCCUUUGUCUAAGUUACCAAGCUUGCCCUUUUCUGGGUUUUGAUAACCCUUUUGCAAGAGUGAAAAUAUUAUAAUCUUGUACCUCUUCAACCGCAUCAAA